GUGCUGCUCCGCUGAGAUGCGCCCGGGCUCCCUAAUUUAGGAACCCUUAAACCAAAAACACAUUUCCGACAAGGAAAAAUCAGGAUCUCUCUCUCCCUCCCUCUCCCUCUCCCUCUCCCCCCUCUCUUUUUCUUUCCUCUCUCUCUCUUCUUUCCUCUCUCUUUCUGCUCUCUCUCUCCUUUCCUCUCUCUUUCUUCUCUCUCUCUUCUUUCCUCUCUCUUUCUUCUCUCUCUCUCUGUUCUUUCCUCUCUUUCCUCUCUCUUUCUUUCCUCUCUCUUUCUUCUCUCUCUCCUUUCCUCUCUCUUUCUUCUCUCUCUCUCUGUUCUUUCCUCUCUUCUCUCUCACUUCUUUCCUCUCUCUUUCUUUCCUCUCUCUUUCUUCUCUCUCUCCUUUCCUCUCUCUUUCUUCUCUCUCUCUUCUUUCCUCUCUCUCUCUCUCUUCUUUCCUAUCUCUUUCUUCUCUCUCUCUCUCUUCUUUCCUCUCUUUCUUCUCUCGCUCUCUCUUCUUUCCUCUCUCUUUCUUCUCUCGCUCUCUUUUUCUUCUGUCUGUCUGUCUGUUUCUUUUUUCUUCUCUCCCUCCCUCCCUCCCUCCCCCCUUUCUUCUAUCUGUCCGUCUGCCUCCCUUUGGGAUCGCGACCUCGACGUCGCCUUUCCUCCACUCAACUCUUCUUCCCUUUAGAGGCGGAAUAUGGAAACAGGCGGAGCCCCGCCCACCUUCCUCUAGCCCCGCCCUCUACCUUUCUCCCCUUCGGCGGAGAUCCCUUCUCCCUUCCUCCGUUCCUGCCCGGUUGCGGCGGCUGCGAUCUCCCGGUCUUCCUCCAGGCUUCGUUCUUUUGUCUUCCUCCUCGUCCUCUGGUCUGCCCAGGAGGAUCAGUGAGCUCGGGGCAGAAGCGCCUCUCUCCGCCGGCAGCGCCUCCCUUCCCGGCGAUGAAGAGCGCGCCUCCCUGGGCUGGAAGAAGGCGAGUCCCCCGCGGCGGUUGAGGCGGUGGAAGAGCCAGGUGAGGAGGGGACAAGGUCGCCCAGUCUCGCUUCUCCCGGUUCUUUGGAGAGCAGAAUUGGUUGCCCUGCUGG
This 1070-nucleotide long non-coding RNA is filed under the name Notechis scutatus (mainland tiger snake). RNAcentral describes it as "lncRNA (ENSNSUG00000000605.1)". The record is from RNAcentral. Lineage: Eukaryota; Metazoa; Chordata; Lepidosauria; Squamata; Elapidae.